GGCGCGGGGCAUGGGGGCGACGGGCGGCCGGACCGACAGCCGCACGGACACACGGACACUCCGACACACCGGCACUCCGACCUUUACACCCGCCACGGCCGGCCGGGCGCGGGCACGGGAAGCGCAGGGAGCGGCAGCGGCAGCAGCAGGAGCAGGAGGAGGAGGAGGAGGAGAAGGAGAAGAAGGAGGAGGAGGAGGAGGAGGAGGAGGGGGAGGAGGAGGCAACGCCGCUCCGCCUCCGCCGCGCCCCGCUCAGGUAUGGGGAGGCUCGGCUCGGCUCCCUUCGGCUCGUCUUUUAUUUUUUUUUAUUUUUUUUUUCUAAAAGAGAAAGCUCUUUUUAAUAAAUAUUUUUUCUUCCCGUCCGCUUCCCCCGCGGUCCUCAGCAUCCCGGCCAGUGCCGGCGCCCCCCGGGCAGGGUCCCCGCCACGACAGCCCAGUGGAUUCUUUACAAGUGCAGGACGGGUUGGAGUUUAUUUUAAGGUCCUGGCCUUGUUCCUGUAUUGUAACGACACAUGGAGACCCAGGAACAGAUGGAUGGAUGGACAGCUGAUGGCACAGGCCAGGGAGGAGCAUCAAUUCUGACAUCUCUAAAUGUCACCAGGACAGAGCUGGCUGUUGCUAAGUACAACCUCAGGUCCUGAAUUUUUGCAUGCAAAGAUGUCCCAAAGACCUCAAAUCUGGAUUUCACUCCUGCACCACAGAGAAGUCACCACGUGCUACUGGCACAAUCCUGGGGUCUGGCAGAGUCACUGUACCCUGGGAGUUGUUGCACUGGCUGUUUCUGCUGCAAGGGUUCCUACCUGAGUUAAACUAAUGAUAAAUUAUUCCAGGUGGUAAAGCCAUGAAUAAUUAACAUUCCUGCAAAUAGAACUGAUUCUGUCCAAAGCCCUGCAGCACAGGAAGCGGGGACCAAGCCAGCACCUUGCCACAGGGCAUGGGGAACCACUCCAGGGAUCAUCAUCUUGUGUGUGGCCGAAAACAUCACCAUGGAAAGCCCUGGGGUCAGCAUAAAAGCCCUUGUAUGCAGAUGGGUGCUUGUAGAAAAGUCUUAAAGCCUUGGGAGAUGCUGAGGAUUCAAACCCUGGAGUGAGCCUGGGAUGAUGUGAAGUCACCCACACGCUCCACACCUCUGCUUUUCCUCUGUCACCACGACAAAUGUAAUUAAAAAAUAGAGGGAAGAAUAUUUUUCAAAGCUCUGGUACAUGUCUAAGUGAAGAGGCUGCAGCUGCCAGGUUUCUAAAUGCCAGUGGUUCUGUUUCUGUGUGGCUCAGAGCCCCAGUGCAGGACAAGCUCGAGUCUGGGCCAGGCUGCUUCCCUCACCAGUGGUGUCCCUGCGCUCAGGGUUUAAUAGCUGGUUUGCCUGCAGGAUUGCUCACUGGGGCAGGAAAUGCCACAGGAUUUCAGGAGCAGCAGCUAACACUCCGGAGGUGCCCUGCAAGCCACAAUUCCAGAUGUGUUUGGCUUGUUACUGCCUGGUGACCUGUAAGUCAGAAGUGUAACGUGAGCGCUGGCCCGAGGCAGGCAAAGGCACGACCAUGCUUUGAAGCACGUCCUGCUUGCUGCCCUAUUUGCCCAGCCUACUGCGAGGAGAUCCAAGGAGCUGGAAGAAGAUGGAAAUCAGCAGAAUUAAGGAAACACUUCAGUCUUGCCAGAGAAAAUCAUUCUUACUGCGUCGCUCCUCUGUUGGGGGCAGCAAGAAGGUGCCUCGCAAGGAGGUUCUGUCUGACCCACCCAGCCUCACCAGUUCUUCUGGACCAACCUGAAUCCUGCAAAGCACUUGCCAGCAAAGGGUUCAGCCCCAGAAACACAUUCAUACACCAACAGUUUUCUCUCAGAAGAGUUUAGUUGCCCGUUAUCCCAUGGGAAUUCACUCCUGCUGAAGGCAAACUUCUUCCAGUCUGAUCUUUUAAUCUUGUGCAGACCUCAUGUUCAUUGCAGAGGAAAUUUGCCUCCAGGAGCAGGAGCUCAGACACUCUAUAAAUGUUUGAUAGCUCUGACCACCUCUUCUGAGUUAUUAUUUUAUUAAAAAAGGAGAUUUAUUAUGGUUCUGGGUGACUUGAAUUCACAAAGCUCACCAAUAUGGUAUUUUUUUAUCUCUCAUAUCGGGUGUACCCAACAAAUGUCACAGCCUUUAAUAACAUGCUUUAAUUAAUCCUGGAAUUCUGAAUGUGCUAUUAUCUUCAUUUUUCAAAGAGAGGUCACAAUAGUAAAGGAAAAUCUACAUUGCUUGCACGGGCUAGUCCAGGAGUCUGCGGCAGACCAGGAAAUUAAUCUCUUAAUCAUUCUGCCAAUUUGACUCAGUGGUGAGAGCACAGACCUUUGACUACCUCAGCUCUCUGCACUGAUGAAACUAUUUCCUUUAUCUGGGAUGGCUUCCCAUCUGCAAAACAGGAGCAGCUCUGAUGUCCUCUGUGUAUCUGUGGAGAUGGCUGCUGAAAAGCACCGUGUACAGGCUCCACAUCCUGGUUACCAGCCUACCUGUCCCAGCCUGAUGCCUCAUCUUCUUGGAAGCUUCCUUCCUUUUGUCCUACAGAUACUUCCAGAAGUAUCUGUAGGACAAAACCUGUUUGGAUCCAAGGAAUCCAAGGAAGAAGCCAUGAGAGGCACUGCUCUGUCGGGAUGGAAGCAGUUCCAGAGGAUUUGUCUCUCUCCCAUCUGGUGACUCAGGAAGUUUUGUCUGUCAGCAACAACAAAAUCCCACCACACUCCUUUUCCCCUCAGCAGGGACAGGUUCUUCCACCGUUUACACCCAGAAUUAGCUGGGCUGCUGAAAGACCACUGAUACUGUUUCAGAUUAAUACAUCUCCACCUGGCCUUUUUCUCCACAGGGGACAAAAAAGCGUUUGUCAGCUGGGUGUCUGCUUUAAACCGAGAGGAAACAACUUUGCAGGGUGUUUGUUCCUGAUUUGUUCCAAGAUGUCUGGGAUCUGGUGCUCCUGAGCUCUGAUUCCAGCUAAUUAUCAGCUCCUCUACGCAUCCAGUCAUGUUCUCACACAACAAAAACACAACCUGGUUUGCUGACAGGGGGCCACAAACUGAAAAGGAGGGUGGGAGGGCAAAAAUGGCAGAGCAAGUGGCUAGUAGAAGAUGCAAGUUUUGGAAGAAAAGGGUGAAAAAGCAGGAGCUGGAGGAAAGAUGGCAGAAGCUGAAAAGCUGAAGGAGAGAGAAACAGCUUCAGAUAAGCAGCAGCAAAGACUCAUAUGGAAAAAUGAAAAAAAGGACAUAAAACGUUUCCAAAUGCCACAAAGUCUGUGAGCAAGAAAGGAUGAGAGGUUUUACAUGGAUUCUUCACUUCCCUCCUCUGAACGGGACAGAGGAAAAACUAAUGAAAUAGUUUUGACUAUUUUUUAUUUCCAGCAAGGAGCUGGUCAGGAGCAGCACUGUGGGGAGCAGCUGGGUCACUCCUACCCGUGCUCCUCGUGUCACCCACAUGUCCUCCUGCAUUAGGGGCAAGCUGGCCACUGGCAUGGGGGCAGAGAGGUCAGCGAGAUGUCCCUGUUCCCCACUGCCAAAACCCACCAACACCUUCCUGGGGACAGCCAGCCAGCUUCUGUGUUGCUGUUUUAAAAUGGUGGUGGUGCUCUGGCCCCACAUUCCAUGUGCUCAGAGUGUGGUGAUCCAAGGAAGCCCAGAGAGGCAGAGGUGCCAUGAAAAUUAUAGAGAAUAAACCUUUUCACAAGACACCUCUAACUUCA
RNAcentral lists this long non-coding RNA (3695 nucleotides) under Parus major (Great Tit). RNAcentral describes it as "lncRNA (ENSPMJG00000002590.1)". Lineage: Eukaryota; Metazoa; Chordata; Aves; Passeriformes; Paridae. The record is from RNAcentral.